UACGAAACGUACAAACGUUAUUCGGAAUCACUGGGCUUAAAGGGUGCGUAGGCGGACAUGUAAGUGAGGUGUGAAAUCCCUCGGCUCAACCGAGGAACUGCGCUUCAUACUGCAUGGCUUGAGGGAGACAGGGGUAAGCGGAACUGAUGGUGGAGCGGUGAAAUGCGUUGAUAUCAUCAGGAACACCGGUGGCGAAAGCGGCUUACUGGGUCUCUUCUGACGCUGAUGAGCGAAAGCCAGGGGAGCAAACGGG
Molecule: ribosomal RNA, 253 nt
Filed under: uncultured bacterium
Lineage: Bacteria
Description: partial 16S ribosomal RNA
Rfam family: Bacterial small subunit ribosomal RNA
Source: RNAcentral